Molecule: long non-coding RNA, 1444 nt
Filed under: Mustela putorius furo (domestic ferret)
Lineage: Eukaryota; Metazoa; Chordata; Mammalia; Carnivora; Mustelidae
Description: lncRNA (ENSMPUG00000024922.1)
Source: RNAcentral
CUGUAGUACACAGACAUGGGUGUGAAUUCAGUUUUACAACUGAAAUCAGUAAGAACGCAAUGUUUGUGAUAAAAAUCGAGAUUGCCUUUGAAUUAUGUAACUAGUUCAAGUUGACACAUAUGAAAAUAAUGAGCCCUGGUAGUGAUUUUCUAAUUAAAUGGUAGAUAUAUUAAUUAACUUUUCCGGGGACUGUGAAGAAUUGUACAUUUGACUUAUGGCUGUUUACAUGUCCUUCUUAUCCUCAAAAGACUGGCUGAAAAUCUAAUUUGCACAUAAAAUUACUUUUACUAAUACCAGGCUACAAACUAUUCUAAUGCAUAUUGCAGUCCAAACCCCAAAAUGAAAGUCAAAAGAAGUUAAAUGCAACCAAUAAACAGACUAAUUUAUACCUCUAAUUUAAAAAAUUCAAGUUCUUAAGUAUCCAUAUUAUGAAGGUAAUUAUAGCUUUUCUGGAACCACACAACAGCAGCGAACUUUAAUUACCAGCUACUAAAAAUCAUACUUACAUGUGAAGAUAUAACUUAUGGUAAACAUAUUAACAUUGGUGGUUUCUGAAAUAAAUAUGCAGACAUUCACUUGCUAAUUGUAAAUUCCAAGUCAGUUUCUAUUAUAAGCAUGUAACAAAUCACACUCCCUCCAUCUGAUUCCCUCUCUCUGCCACCCAUCACUUCUUUCCUCUGCCCACUACCUGUCUGCUCCCUCCUGUCACCCACUUCCUGAGGCCUCCGCUCCUGUUGUCACACCUUCUUUUCCCCCACGCCCACCAUCUGGAAGUCAGCAUUACACUGCAGGAGCUUCUCCAUCCACAUCUGUUGCGGAGACAGAAGGAACACAGACAGCUGCAACACUGCUGGAUGUCCAGGGCGUCGACAUCAGAUCUAAUACCACUGGCACGAGAGAAUGAAAUGACUAUUGACUACAAACCAAUAUUUCUAAUCAGAAGCUUCUUUACUGAACAAAAACUCAGGAGUCAACAGUAUUAAGCACAGAACAGCGGAAGCGACUGCAGAAGAUCUAGGAGCGGGCUGACAUGAAGAGCCAAAGAACCAAUUCCAAGAAGUCAGUCAGUUUGGGAACCAGUAACAGUAAAUGAUCCUGACAGCGUAAGGGGCCUAAUCUCAGGGUAAGAGGAUACAAAUGAAAAGUAUAACGUACAAGGCAAGAAGUUGUAAAUCACUUAAAACCAUUGCUGAAGGCUUCUACCUCUUAGGGCUCGCCACCAUGAAGAGGUAAUGAUGAGGAGACAAGUAAAAGUAAGGGCUUUUAUUUGUCUUGAUUUUUAAUAUAUAUGCCAGGUCCCAGUGAAGAAAUUAUGAAGGAUCAGUAACACUUGGAUUUAUAGAAGCAAUUUAAUCUUUCUAAAGAUAGCUCUCUUACCAUGGCUCUCACAUACUAGAAGGUCAAGGAGAACUAAACAAAUGUUUAUACAGUCUUUCCAUUAUAA